Molecule: non-coding RNA, 99 nt
Organism: Acanthosepion pharaonis
Lineage: Eukaryota; Metazoa; Mollusca; Cephalopoda; Sepiida; Sepiidae
Source: the annotation of a GenBank genome assembly
AUUGAAAUACUGGUUCCCAUAUGAUAACCAAAGUUAAGCAACAUUGAGUCUGGUCACUACCUAGAUGGGUAACCACUUGGGAAUACUAGGUGCUGUAAG